AAAUGAACGCGGAGGAUCCCUGAGGACUCGGGCUCGAGAGCGCUCUCGUUUGGAAAACCAGCCCAAGUCCAGCGCUCUCUGAAGAUUUCUCUUCUUCCUACUGAUUGUGGUGAGUGCUCAUGCCCUGACGUUUUCUUUAUUCACCCAACAGCUUUGGAUACCAGCGUUUCAGUGACUGAUGAUUAUUCUAGAUAUUUUAUAAUCUCUCUCUCUUUUUUUUCUUGUCUUCUUUAGGGCCACACCUGUGGCACAUGGAGGUUCCUAGGGUAGGGGUCCAAUCGGAGCUGUAGCCGCUGGCCUACACCACAGCCACAGCAAUGCGGGAUCUGAGCCUCAUCUGCGAGCUACACAACAGCUCAUGGCAACCCCAGAUCCUUAACCCACUGAGCGAGGCCAGGGACCGAACCCACAACCUCAUGGUUCCUAGUCGGAUUCGUUAAUUACUGAGCCAUGACGGGAACGCCUAUAAUUUCUCAUUUAAUUCAAGUUACUUAGGAGUGCAUUCUAUUAUUAUUAUUUUUUAUGGCUGCACCUAAAACACAUGGAAGUUCCCAGGCUAGGGGUCAAAUCGGAGCUGCAGCCCCCGGCCUACGCCAGAGCCACAGCAACACGGGAUCCGAGCCAUGUCUGCAACCUACACCACAGCUCACGGCAACGCCGGAUCGUUAACCCACUGAGCAAGGGCAGGGACUGAACCCGCAACCUCAUGGUUCCUAGUCGGAUUCGUUAACCACUGCGCCACGACGGGAACUCCCCAUGGUUUUUUAAUUAGCACCACUCCCCUGGUGCCCGGACUCACUGAAGUUCAGGUUCUUUGUGUCUCAGCACAGGAGGAAUUCAUCGAGAGGCAGAGCAAUAGACAAGAAAUAGGUUUACUCAGAGAGGAUGCUUCUGAGAGAUGCAAGCGGGCAGGCAAGGAAGCUCUGUCCUGAGGGUCAGGUGGCUACAUUUUUAUAAUCCAAGGAGAGUGGGGACGGGGAAAGACUGCUUUCUUUCUCGUUCUUCAGGCCAACGCCAGGCUUUCAUCCCUAGCCCCUUCACAUCCGGCGAGAGGAUAUUUGACCCUGUGAGGUCACCCGAGGUGCUUGUGCAGAUCGGCAGCAGGGUGGUGACAGGUGUGCGACAAUAUGUUGGAACCUCUCAGCUUUCCCUGUAAUGAGAGACUUCCGACUUUGGAACGUCGUCUUUCUCUUACUUUCCCGUCUUUGGUCCUAAGGACCAUUAUCUUCCUGAACUUGAAUGCGGGCUUCGUUUUUUUUCUUUCUCUCACUUAGUGACCUGAGCCGUGUCUCGUGCGUUUCUCUAUGGUUUUAUCGUUAAGCAUGCUGCUUCGUUCCAUGCAUGUUCUGAUGGCUUUCGUGAGUGGUUAUUAACCUACUGUGGUCUCCCGAAGUUCCCUAGGUUUCCCGCUCUGUCUGUGGUCUCCUCCUGGGACUCCUACAACGACCCGUGUAACUCUCCUCCUCCAUCCCUAUCAGUGGGAAGCCCGGAUUCUAGGGAGCCCAAUGCCAGCAGCCUUCCGUCAGGGUGCGCCUGGAGCCUUACCUUUUUUCUCCUAUAAAGCUUUCCCACGCCUCUGCCUGGCUUUCAUUAUCUGCCAAAACUCAAGGGAUGGUGUUGCCGAAACUCAGCCUCCACCCAUCGGUGCUGAAUAGAAACACAGAGUUUUGGGUAAAGGAGAAAAAGAUAGCUUUUAUUGCUUUGCCAGGCAGGGCAGGCCACAACGAGCUGAGGCCUUAUAGGCUGUGCCCUCCUUUGGGAGAGCACAGGAGAUGGUCUUAGAGUUUGGGGGCGGAAAAUAGAGCCGCAGAUGAGGAUCAGGGUAGGUGCACGCUUGCGGUCCUCACAGCGGGUGUUUCGUGGCCCCAGGACUGGGUCUGGUGCUCCUCCUUCUUUCUGGAGUGAAGAAUGCUUCAUCAGGUAGUUAACGUCUUUCAUUUGUUGGGGGUUCUGGUUCAGCGGAAGAACUCAAAGAUAUUGUUACGUAUUUUUCUUGAGGAGGGACCAGGACCCGCCCCGAGGCUGCACUCUUGUCUCUUGGCGGCUCCUCCCUGGUCUCUGCAUCCCCUCCCUUCCCUGAUGAGCAACUCUUUGAAGCUGCCCUUUGGAACUCAGGGAAGGUCACGGAGCUGGGAUGGAAAAGAAGGCAAGACUGGCGAAGUCCGGACGGCCCGCUGGUGAGUGGUGUGGAGCUGCUCACUGAGGGGCUCCGAAGUGGCCUGGAAGAUUUCCUGCCGCCCGAGAGUGGAGGAUCCACCGAAGCUGCGUGUGUCACUCUGUGACAGCGUCUGAAACAGAGCGCCCAUGUUAUAGGUGCUCAGUAAAUACGAACUGAUCGGAUGAGAACUCACAGGUCCCCUUGUCAUCUGCUCUGGUCUCUCUCUCUCUAUUCCUUCCUUAGGAAAUAGGGUAGUUCUGGAGCCUCCCAAACAGAGCAGAGGAGAUGACAUAAUAUAUAACAUAAAUAUAUACAAAAUGUCGUAUAUAUAAUACAAAGAACAAUCUUAUGUAAGAUGAUGUGACAGUUAUGUUUUGUAAAUUUUUCCAUAUGUAUUUAAGCUUUUUGUAUCCUAUAAAAUUCCAGAUUCACACAUAUUUAAUUUAAACAUUAGAAUUCAUUUCCUUGUACUUCUUUGCCCAGAAAGGAAUUUUAAAUUAUUUUGCUCUAUACCAGAACAAGCUAAUUUAGAAAAACACAGUGGAGGGAUUUCCUGUUGUGGCUCAGCGGGUUAAGAACCUGACACAGUGUCCCUGAGGACACAGGUUCGACCCCUGGCCUUGCUCAGUGGGCUAAGGAUCCAGCAUUGUCACAAGCUGUGGCAUAGGUCACAGAUGCAGCUCGGAUUCAACCCCUAGCUUGGGAACUUCUAUAUGCCACAGAUGUGGCCCUAAAAAGAAAAAGAAAAA
RNAcentral lists this long non-coding RNA (2907 nucleotides) under Sus scrofa (pig). RNAcentral's name for it is "lncRNA (ENSSSCG00035066668.1)". The record is from RNAcentral. Lineage: Eukaryota; Metazoa; Chordata; Mammalia; Artiodactyla; Suidae.